This 2685-nucleotide unclassified non-coding RNA is filed under the name Hevea brasiliensis (rubber tree). The record is from RNAcentral. Lineage: Eukaryota; Viridiplantae; Streptophyta; Magnoliopsida; Malpighiales; Euphorbiaceae.
GACUGAGACUGUUGGAUAAGUAUGGUACAAAGCAUUCCAAUCUUGGGAUGGGAGGAUAGUACUUUGGAUCGUGGAAGGAUUAAUGAGAAAUGAGCAGGAAGCUGCCUAAAAAGAGAAAAGCUUUGGGGAAGAAGGAUACGCAAUGAGAUGCGAUACUUGGGCAUCUAGUCACCAUGAUUACAAUUACUAGAAGCUAUUUGGAUUUGGUUGGCUUUUUAAGAGAAUUUUUAGAGGAUAAGAGUGUUGUCAUUUCGAUAAACACAGUAAUGUUUUGACUACAACAUAUCACUACCAAACAAAUUUGAUUGUGAUUUGUCAUUAUAACAGUAUUCUUUAUCAAGAUGCUUGUCAAUUUUGGUGAGAAAAAGCUUCAUGGAAGGAUGUUAUUGUCAUUGGAGAUACCUGGGUAGGCAGAAAUUUAUGUUUUUGGAAUCAUUAUACUCCAGGUUGAGUCGCAGGGGAGAAACUCGAACAGGGCGGCCGUUGGCUCUGGCGGCGACUGAUUUGAUGGGAGACCAGAGUCCUGAUGAGGAGUGACGCUUGCGAGUCACAUCUAAAAUGUGCAAGUUGGCACCCACUUCACGUACGUGAUCAACCAUAGUUAACACAGUGUUUACUCUUAACAAGUGAAAAAACCCAGUAUUUUCGUUUUGUAAUCAUACAGCAUUUUCCUCUCUUUCUAGUCUACAACUAGUUCUAGUAUCGGCUUCCAAGUUUGUUAGAAGAGGCUUGUUUUAUGUCUAUGGCCCAUGGGCUAGUCAAUCUUCACAGAAGAGUAGAUCUUCCUCACAAACCACAAGCAUCCAUAGAAACCAGUUGACCCAGUUAAGACAAAGAAGGUGUAUGAUCCAAUUAACAUGUACCCCAAGUAAAGAAUGCCAGAAACCAGCUUUGUAAUUUCCAACUUGGUGAAGAAAUAGAAGACCGAGUAUAGGAAGAGGUAGAGAGCAGAAGAACCUGCAGUCAAGUAGGAUCUCCACCACCAGUUAUAAUCUUCAUUGCAUAGCUGAAAGUAGCAGAGCACGAUUGUUAUCUCAACACAAGUGAUUAUUAGUAUAAUAAAGACUAGGAAGAUGAAACCGAACAUGUAAUAGAACUGGUUUAGCCAUAUAGAUGUCAACAUGAAGAAUAGCUCAAUGAACACUGCUCCAAAUGGAAGUAUGCCUCCAAUAAGAAUGCAGAAUAUUGGUUUUGUAUACCAUGUCUGCAAAGGAAUCUGCCUUGGGAUUUUUUUAGUUUUGACAGGAUCUUCAAUUGCUGGCUUUCUGAAACCCACAAAACUGCCAAUGAAAACCAAUGGCACUGAUAUCCCAAACCACAAGAACACCAGAGCAAACAUUGUUCCAAAAGGAACUGCUCCAGAAGAUUUCUCACCCCAAAUUAGUGCAUUCAGUACAAAGUAAAUGGUAAAAAGUAUAGCAGGGAAUGUGAAGGCUGUUUUCAAGGUGACCCUCUUCCACUGUGUGCCUUUGAACAUCUUGUACAAACGAGCUGACGAGUAUCCUGCAAAUAAGCCCAUGAAAACCCAUAAAAGGACCAUGGCUGUCAUCAGGCCACCACGGUUGGCCGGUGAGAGGAAACCCAACAAUGCAAAAAUCAUUGCGACAAGAGUCAUUCCCAAAACUUGGAUGCCUGUCCCAGCAUACACACACAAUAAACUGGAAUUAGGAGGCGGACGGAAAACAUCCCCAUGAACUAAUUUCCAGCCUGUUUCUUCCAAGGCCUCAUCUUGGGUAUCCAGCUGAUUGUAGCUUGUAAUGUCCUUGUAGAGUGUUCUCAUCAUAAUCAUGGCAACCAUGCCCGAAAGAAACAGAACAAUAAUUAAAGAGUUAAUAAUGGAGAACCAAUGAAUCUGACUGUCGUUCAUAAGAAGGUACGUGUCCCAGCGCGAAGCCCAUUUGAUUUCGCUGGACUCAAAGGAGACAUCAUAUGUAAACACAAUCUCUUCACCAAUAGCUAUCUGUUCUGUAACAGCAUUAUCCUGAAUUUGGGAAUUGCAUGUUGUCAACCGAGUGUUGUUCUCAUCCCAAUUCUUGUACUCAUGGUUAAUACUGAUUGGAUUGACUUCAAAACCAACAAUGCGAGCAGAAUCAGUGACAGGAUCCACAUGAUACUUGACUUUGAAGCUCAGAUGGUUAUUGAUAAAAUAUUUAUCCUCUCUGCUUUUGAACCCAACUGGAAACCCAUGCUCAUAAAGUUGUGAUUGGCUAAGAACCGCAACGGGAAGGUUGUCCAGAAUCAUGUUAACACGAUACUGAUCAUCAAUCUUCUCCUUGAAACUCCCGGCAGAUUCGGCAUCUAGCGUUACCCGACAGGCGACUUGGCAGAACAGUUCCAUUCUCAUUUUAAAAAAGUAGACAGAAUUCUCAAUGCGAUCGCCUCGAAGAACUUCUCCAAGAUUUUCAGCGCUGUUGAUAAUUUUUGGAGGCUUACAGUAGUUGAGAAAAUAGUAAUGAUACGGAAGCUGUGUCUUGGUGGAGGAGAGCUUGUUAACCUUGACAUGGAGAGGAUCUCCCGUUUGGAAAUCGCGAGGUGCAACCCCAGGGAGAUAGAAAGAGUGGACGACAGAUGAUAGCAGCAGAGGGACAACAAAAAGAAGAAGGAGAACAGGAGAAGCCAUAGCCGAAGCUUAAUUCAAAUGUGUGAUGGAUCCACACGCUUAGGCAGUAUAAGAGGAGACUGGAG